This is a long non-coding RNA of Struthio camelus australis, 1565 nucleotides long. The record is from Ensembl. Lineage: Eukaryota; Metazoa; Chordata; Aves; Struthioniformes; Struthionidae.
GAUUUAUAGUUGCUACUUGGCUAAAACAAAUGUUUGCUUAGGUUUGACUUGUGAAGCUAUUUUUUAUUAUUAAGAUCAUUUCUAUACUUUAGGUGAAGGCAUUGAAAGAGAAGAUUGAAUCAGAAAAGGGGAAAGAUGCUUUUCCAGCAGCUGGCCAAAAACUAAUUUAUGCAGGUAAAAUUCUUAAUGAUGAUACUCCUCUUAAAGAAUAUAAAAUAGAUGAGAAGAACUUUGUGGUGGUUAUGGUGACAAAACCCAAACCAGCAGCUGCACCAACACAAUCACUGGCAACAACUCAGCAAUCAAAUGCUAUCACCACUGUUAGCUCUACAAUGGCAGCUGCAGCUCCCACAUCAGUCCCUGCUCCAGCUCCUGUCUCUACCACUCCAACAUCAGCUGCAGUUGCUUGUGAACCUAUACCUGUAAGUGCCCCUAAAGAAGAGAAACCAUCUGAGACACCAGCUGUUCUCGGUCCAUCAUCAACUGGCAGGUAUGAAUGAGCCUCCCAGAAGGGUUUCUGUGUUUAUUUCCUCUUGUUUCUGGUUUUGGUUUUAAAAAUAAGUUCUCCAUUGUAAUAUUAGUUCAGAUUUUUUAUUUACCUAUUUUUCCCCCUAAAUGUAAUGUCUGUCUAUGGCUCAAAUAUAAUGUUAUUAUGGGUAAUAAGCCCCCCACCCCAGAAGUAUGACCUUGUGAUUAAACUUACAUAGCUGGCAGUCAAGUAAUACAGGACGUAAUCUACUCUCCUUGGGCAUGUCGUGGAGUUGUUGUGACUCAACUUUUUUUUUUUCUUUUAAACUGAGGCUAUUUUGCUAUGCCUGCAUGAUAAACUGAUGUUUAUGAAGCUCUUCAAGACUUUAAAUGGGUGUGUUGUCCCAUCCUGUCUUGUUUCCCUUUCCCCCCCCACACACUUUUUUUUUUAAGAUCUGAUUUUGUUUUGAAUCACGCUGGUCAGAUUUGAUACACGUGAUGUAGUAAGUUCUUAUUCCAAUAAGAAUCCCCUCUCUUCUGGAAAGAGAUAAAAUUAAAGGAUCUACAGUGUAUACACUUUUGAUGGAAUUCAACUUUGAACCAAAAGGUAGGAUACAGUAUUGCUCUUAAUCAUAGAGUAUCUUAAAGCUACGAGACUAUUCAUCAUAAACAAUCCUUGGCCCUUCUGUAAGUGGUUCUGGUGGUUAGGAUGGCUUGUGGUCUCGGCUCUCAGAGUUCAAAAAAAUCAAGCGCAAGUUUGCAGUUGCAUCUCUGGUUAAUACUCUACCCUUUGCUCGUUUGAAGUUGCUUGAGGAUUGCAUAGGAUUUAAAAGAAAAAAUAGUUGGCUAUAACUUCAUGGCCCUUGGAGUGUUGCAUAACUUUAGGUCUUAAUUCUCCAUAUACAGGCUUAUAAUUAUUUGUGUACUAUUUAUGUGAAUGCUGUUGCACAAGACAUGAUUUUUUGAAGUAAUAGUAUUUAAAUAACAUCCAAUAUGGGUUUAUUUUGGGAAUGGGGAAACAAAGCUUGGCACUGAUGGAAAUGUUGGCACUGAUUUCUUGCAAUAAAUACCCCUAAUUAUAGAUGUAAUCUUGCUUU